This 383-nucleotide ribosomal RNA is filed under the name uncultured eukaryote. Its description in RNAcentral is "partial 18S ribosomal RNA". It matches the Rfam family "Eukaryotic small subunit ribosomal RNA", at positions 592 to 976 of the family's 1831-position model. The record is from RNAcentral.
CAAUAGCGUAUAUUAAAGUUGUUGCAGUUAAAAAGCUCGUAGUUGGAUUUCUGGUGGGAGCGAUCGGUCCGGCGCUUAGCGCGAGUACUUGCAUCGUCUCCGGCCAUCCUUGGGGAAAGUCUGUCUGGCAUUAAGUUGUCGGGCAGAGGAUCCUCAUCGUUUACUGUGAAAAAAUUAGAGUGUUCAAAGCAGGCUUAUGCCGUUGAAUAUAUUAGCAUGGAAUAAUAAGAUAGGACUUUGGUACUAUUUUGUUGGUUUGCGCACCAAAGUAAUGAUUAAUAGGGACAGUUGGGGGUAUUCGUAUUCCGUUGUCAGAGGUGAAAUUCUUGGAUUUACGGAAGACGAACUACUGCGAAAGCAUUUACCAAGGAUGUUUUCAUUAA